GACCAUUAUAAAGGAGGUGUCAUUGCGGUUCCUGUUUCCAGUGGGAACUUCAGAGGAAAAACUAAAACCGAAAGUGUUUACUUCCAAAUAAACUGGGAUAAUUUAGCAAUAUGUGAGCACUCUAUAAACAGUGUGCGGUGUGUUUUUCAUUAAACGUGUCACAAGAUGUGAAUCAUGACAAACAGUGCCAGUAUAUCAGCUGACUAACAUAAACAAACGGGACGGCGAAAGCGCAUUCAGUCUUCUGACUCACAUGGGCUUGUGGGAAUCGAGUUAUGCUGAAAAUCCCCUUUUCUCAACACGAGCGUCUCUCUCUCUCUCUCUCUCUCUCUCUCUCUCGGUUUCUGGCUCAUGUUAGAUCCUGUCUGCUUCAGCAACGUCUGAAACCCCACCUCCUCCUGUCUCUCUCUCUCUCUCCCUCUCACCACUUCGUCUCAGGCGGCGUGGAAUCCUGACUGUGUUUAAUUGCUGAGUGGUAAGAUCUGAGGGAAAGAUCGGGAGCCGCUGCGUCUGUCAACGCUUUACGGGCCCCAACCCCGGGAGAGAGAGACAGGGAAGGUGUAGGAAGGAAGUGUUUGGAGUUUGGGAACGGGUGAGUUGGGGAAUUCUUACGCAGUGGGGAGGUGAAGAAAGAGGUGAAACGCUGAAGUAAGACUUCAGAGUUGGAGGAAAAAAAGAGGGAGGGAAAGAAAAGAGGCCCACCGUUGGAGAAAGGGCAACAAGAGGGAAAAGUGGGAAAACAAAAGUAAGUUAGAAAAAGGAGGAAGGAAGGAAGGGGGAGGUGAGCGAAAAGUUAGAGAGGGAGAGAGAGAAAGAGAGUCAAACGCAGUGAACGAGAGGAGACGCAGAUGAGAAAAACAGACGCUGUGGAUGGCCUGGGUGGAGAGAGAACCAGUUGUUUUCUAAGUCGCCUUUCAGACUGGAAUGCACUCAGAGAAUUUGAGAUUCCCGACGCCUUAUUGCCAACUUUGCUUGCGACGCGCGCCGGGACCCGCCGACGGAUCAUGCCUGCAUAUGGAGUCCAGCAUAGCCCCGUUCCCGAAGGAGUUGGGGUUGGAGCGUGCAGAGAGGACUGCAGCAUCCCCAGCGUGGCAGGUUUACACCGAGGAGAUCCGGCAUCCGUUCUACAGGUGGGACUCGCCGUGCGUUCGAGAGAUCCGGCAGGAGUGCGGAUGUGUCCAGCGGUGGUAUUACCCAGAGAUGUUGCAUCCCUUCAACGGCGACCAUGUUUUGAAGGUCAGACGUCACCGGUGCCACCCAUCCUACAUCCAGGAGUGGGACAACGUUCAUCAGUCUGAAUACAAUGGACACUGCGAGAGGAGACGAGUGUCGUUCCGGCAUCACGAGGAACGACCUGAGACUGGCGGACAAUUACACUGUAACGGGCCGAACUCUGGACAGGCGACUUUUUUCCCAACCGAGGUGCCCUCCAGCAAGUUGGGAUGCUCCAGGGCACUCGGGAACGGGCUGCAGGUGAACGGACCGCAGCGGGAAGUAAGGACGCCUCGGGGGGACGAGGGUCUGGAGAAACAUGGCAAGCAGAGGAAGAGCCAGGGAACAGUACGGGAACAGAUCAAACAUGUGGUCACGGAGCUCGAGGAAGUGCUGGGUGGUCUCAAACAGGUCCAGUUGGAGAUGAAAGAGGUUGUCCAAAAGAUCGACAUUCUAACGUCCAAUAUUGACCUUGGAGAAGACGAACCAAGUCUAUCCAAAGGACUCUUCCAAGAUGCCACCAAAAGCAGUCGAUCCAGUGUUGUUGCAUUGAUCCACAAUUCAAACGGCGACGAGGACAUGUCAACUUCCAAUUCCUCUCUCGAACACAGCCCUGUCACUGUGGAUUUAAUUCACAUUAACGGUCCUUUGCCGAUGAGAAACCACACAAGCCCAUCACCUCCUGAGCAACGAUCCGUUACUGUUCAGGAUACAGGCAAACGAGUUGUGAAACAGAGCUCAGAGACUCAAAGGACGGCAAAUGGAAACUGUCUACUGCAUCAAACAGCAAGGAAAGCCCAAUUGGAAAACCACAGACCCCCUGUAGCUCCAGUAGUGUGCACUAACUCCAAUAAAACCCACCGGCCUCCACCUUACCCCCAGAACGGACAGGUGAAGAUGAGGACCCCUCCCUAUCCAGGAAAACAUAAGACGCUCUCCUCCACCAUAGUGGACUGAUGCCACACAACCCAGCUGACUCACACCGGAGGACGGAGAAUCCCGGGCCGAGGGGCAGUGACUAUAUUUCCCAUGGAAAACUCCAGAAACAUCUCAAAGCCCUCUUUCUCUCUCACACCCCUGCUGAAAAAAAAGCUAGUUUGGACCAACUUAAAGUCACCAUGAAAUGGCAUUCGCAGCUCAGAUUUACUUACUUCAUGUGGUUGGAGGGGCUGGGUCAAAAAGCAAGAGGGAUUUGUGAUGUCAGCUGAAAAGGAAAGUCGUUUCAGAGACGGAGCAAGUUGUUACAUUUUGUUGAAAGAUUAUGAAAACAAGCAUUUUUAAAAAUAAGAAACAAACAGGAAAGCAAAUGGGUCAGUUUUAAGUUCAUGUUGUUUUAAAGACACCAUGGAAUCCGUUUUUUUAUUUUUUGCAAAUAUAUGCAUUUAAAAUGCAUGGCGUUUCCCUCUAGGCAAUCAGUCCAAAAAUAUGGACUAUGCAUAGACUAGACCAGUGGUUCUCAAUUCUGGUCAAUAGCAACUGCAUGGCAACAAUCUAAAAAGCCAGACACAACAUAACACCUUAGCAACUGCAAAGCAACAUUCUAAAAAGCCACUCACAACAUAACACUUUAGUAACUGUAUAACAACACCUCAGCAACUGCAUAGCAACAUUCUAAAAAGCCACUCACAACACCUUAGAAACUGCAUAGCAACAUUCUGAAAAGCCACUCACAGCACCUUAGCAACUGCAAAGCAAAACAAACUGUAAUUUAAAAGUGCUAAACUGAGUGAUAAAUGUCUGUUUGAGAUAUUUAAUAUGAAAACAAACAAAACUGCUCAUAUUAUUUUCCUCAUCCAAAAUGUUAGUAGGAAGUGACUGGAAUUUUUUUAUUUUGAAAGCCUUCUCUUGGCUUUUGUCAGCUGAGUGCAGUUUUUCAUGGCUGUGACAUUAACUAAAGACUAUUGGGUAUUUUAAAAAGGCACCAGUCUCUCAUUAUGUCCCGCCCCAACUUCCUGUUUCAAUAGGAAAUAUGUCAACACAGGAAAGAAAUCUGAGCUCAUCAAACCAUUUCAUGGGACUUUAACUGGUUUAGAUGGACACAGUGCUGGUGUGUCACAGGCACAAGCGGGUUAAACUGGUUGUUUUUGAAGGCAGACCAGUGUAUUAUCGUGAAAGGUCCCAAAACAUGCUGGUUACUUAGUCUGACUGAACUAGUUUAGCUGGUCAAGGGUCAGUUUUGGGUCAUUUCAGCAGGGCCUCUCUCUCUCUCAAGCUGCUCUGUGUAAACCUUUUGGAACGAGCUGCCCUUCUUAACUACCCUGUGACCUGAUAUCUGCGUGUUUCUCCUUUAAAAGGAACACAACCAAGGAAUAAGCUGCUUUAGGUUGGAAAUUUAUGACUUUAUAAUAGGGCCUUGAGCUCUCAGAUAUAUGCAAACUAACGCCAGUGCUCAUGUAGAUCUGAAAGACUGUGACUACCCAGCUAACGAAAAUAUGUUCUAAGAACGUUUUGCUAACCAGUGUUGGGGAAAGUUACUUUUGAAAGUAAUGCAUAACAAUCAUGCCUUGCCAUAACUACAUUCUUAGUUACUUUUUAUGGAAAGUAAAGCAUUUUGUUACUUUUGUGUUACUUUUUGUCACCUGGGCUGGGCUUUCUUAAUUUGAUAUAGGNNNNNNNNNNNNNNNNNNNNNNNNNNNNNNNNNNNNNNNNNNNNNNNNNNNNNNNNNNNNNNNNNNNNNNNNNNNNGUUAGGCAACUGUAAGGGCCUAUAUGUAUUUGAAAAUGUAACACCAAUAUUUAAUUGUAAAUUUAAAAGUAAUGCAUUACUUUACUAGUUACUUGAAAAGGUAAUCCGAUUACUUGUAAUGUAUUACCCCAGCACUAUUGCUAACGUUCCCAUUAAGUACUGAAACCGUUAUUGCUGAAUGUUCUCUGAACAUUUUUUAACGUUACUGGACAAACAUUUGUUCAUAACCUUCCUUGUUAGCUGGGUAGACAAUUGAAAUGCCUAAAAAGAGGAAGUGUUUUCUGAAUAUUGUUAUUAUUGCUAUUAUUAUUCAGACCAAAGAUUAAAAUGAUUUUUUUGUUCAGGGAGGCUGAAGGAUCUAGAAUUAUGUUAAGCUUAAGCUAAUAAACAUUAACAUUGCCUCA
Long non-coding RNA from Cyprinus carpio (common carp), 4301 nucleotides. The record is from Ensembl. NCBI's taxonomy places the organism in Eukaryota, Metazoa, Chordata, Actinopteri, Cypriniformes, Cyprinidae.